GAUGAACGCUGGCGGCGUGCCUAAUACAUGCAAGUCGAGCGAACAGAUGAGGAGCUUGCUCCUCUGACGUUAGCGGCGGAUGGGUGAGUAACACGUGGAUAACCUACCUAUAAGACUGGGAUAACUUCGGGAAACCGGAGCUAAUACCGGAUAAUAUAUUGAACCGCAUGGUUCAAUAGUGAAAGACGGUUUUGCUGUCACUUAUAGAUGGAUCCGCGUCGCAUUAGCUAGUUGGUAAGGUAACGGCUUACCAAGGCAACGAUGCGUACCCGACCUGAGAGGGUGAUCGGCCACACUGGAACUGAGACACGGUCCAGACUCCUACGGGAGGCAGCAGUAGGGAAUCUUCCGCAAUGGGCGAAAGCCUGACGGAGCAACGCCGCGUGAGUGAUGAAGGUCUUCGGAUCGUAAAACUCUGUUAUUAGGGAAGAACAAAUGUGUAAGUAACUAUGCACGUCUUGACGGUACCUAAUCAGAAAGCCACGGCUAACUACGUG
Molecule: ribosomal RNA, 497 nt
Filed under: uncultured bacterium
Lineage: Bacteria
Description: partial 16S ribosomal RNA
Rfam family: Bacterial small subunit ribosomal RNA
Source: RNAcentral